AUGGCGUACUUCAACGAUAGUAGUAAAGUGUUGAUGUGCCCGGGUCACACCGACAUCGCACCCUACGUCGCCAACCUGACCUCCUCCUACUCCGACAAGAGCAACGAGUCCUCCGUGGUGGCCACCUCCGUCUUCAUGCUCGUCCUCGCCGCCGUCUUCUUCAACCUCAACCUCUUCAGCCGCAUCUCCAACACCAGCGCCGUCCUCAACCCCACCGCCCGCCUCAUCCUCACCUCCGCGGUCUCGCUCUUCCUCCCCGUCAUGUCCUACCUCUUUUCCGAGGCCAAAAACACCCCCGAUGCCGCCGGCGCCAGCAAGGUCGAAGAGGACCUCCCGGUGCGGGCUCGGCUCAUCCUCACGUGGAUGCUUCUCGCGGAGCUCCUCCGCAAGAACGUGGAGGCCAUCCCGACCACCGCGGCGAUGCAGAAGGGCUACUCUAUCAUCAUCGCCAACGCCAACGCCGUCGCUUGGCUUGGAUACCUCGUCUUCUUCAACCUCAAGGGAGCCGGCCGGGUGGCGGUGUUCGGCAUCCUCUGGCUGCUCUGCGCCGCCAAGUUCGUGCAGAGGGUCGCCUUCACCGAGAUAGGGAAGCGUUCUUUCGCCUAUGGCAAGAAUGCUCGCCUCCUCUCCUCCUACAUGGCUGAAAUGGUAAAACGCCCGCCACAUGUCCAGACGCCCACUCCGUCGCAGAGGUUGGAGAUGUGCAACUACGUGGUCAUGGGAGAAGAAAAUCUUAUGCUGAAACCCGGCUCGCAUGGCUACGAGCUCGACCUCGACCGGCUCACCGCCACCUACGGCGACCACAUCGGUGACCACAUCGUCACCGUGGGGAAAAUAUGGGCACUCCCGCAGCAAGAGAAGAAACCGAGGCUCAAGAGGCUCAAAAGGCUGUGCCUCUCCUUUGCGCUCUUCAAGCAACUCCGGCCUAGGUUCGAGCUCCUGCGGGCCGCCACUAAGGAAGAAACCGACCACUGCCGGGACCUCAUCUUCCAAGGCCUGUGCAGCCACGAUCAGACUGACCUCGAAGUCGAACCUGGGGUGGCACUGUUCCAGGUGCUCAAGGACGAGAUCAGCUUCCUGAGCGAGUACUACCACUCCGUCCACCCGGUGGUGCUCGCCAGCCCCUACUUCUUCGUCAUCAACUACAUCACCUUCCCCGUCGUGGUCUUCGGCCUCUGCGUCAUGACCGUCGCCCUUGCCGGCGACGGCGACAUGCCCGAGGCCAUCGCCAGCAUCGGGCGGGACAACUACGCCAUAUCCUCCGGCAUAUUCACGCUCACCAAGUGCCUCUGGAGGAACUUCUUCCACACACCGGCGGCCUUCUUCGUCAUCGUCGACAUCUCCAUCACCUACCUCCUCUUCAUCGCCUUCGUCUACGAGCAAGUGUCCGAGUACAUGGUAUUCGUCUUCUCUAACUGGUUCAUGGUGUCGCUGCUGUGCAACUACGCCGCACGGCCACGCUGGCGCGACAGCACGACCUACCGUGGUAUUCUCCGCCGCAUGUCCUGGAUCAGUAGCAAGCUGAGCCACCCCAGCCGUAUCACCUUGAAGCAGUUCUCCGUGCUCAGGGUUAGCUGGCUCUCCAUGACGCUGCCCACCACCUUCCUGCCAAGACAAGCAAAGAGCUCCAUAAUGGAACGCUUUCGCUUGGCGGCGUACGGCCAUGACGGUAGCCCCGCCCCUCCUAGCAACGGCCAGUACGUGAUAGACCAUUGGCGGCGGCAUACAGACUUGUCAUGCUUCUGCGAGAGUAAGAGCGUGGUCGAGGUCAUCCUCAUCUGGCACAUUGCUACCACCAUCUUGGAGAUAGAGUAUCCAGGACGGCACAAAGCAGAGACCUCUUCGAGGCUGGUGGCCACGAGGCUGUCCAAGUACUGUGCUUACCUCGUGGUCAUCCACCCAGAGCUGCUACCGGAUGACCGUGAAGGCACGGAGCGCGUGUUGGAGGACAUGAAGAGGGAUCUCAAGGUGGCCGUCGGGGGUUGGUGGGCUUACUACACCGCGCCCGAGAGGGAACGGUACAACAAGAUGAUGGGGGCGCCCUUGCCGGACUGCCCGGCCGACAACAUCCAUAAUGUGGUUCACAAGGGAACAAAGCUGGGGAGGAAACUAAUGGAAGAUUGCCGGAGAGAUGAACGGCCCGUUUGGGAACUACUGGCCGACCUUUGGGUGGAGCUCCUUGUGUACAUCGCGCCAUCCGGUCGUGAUGAGCACGUGAAGGGGCAGGAGGAGGCACUGGUGCUAGGCGGCGAGCUGGUCACCCUCGUCUGGGCGUUGGCCACGCACACCGGCGUAACCCGGCCACCGCCGACGUCGGUGGUAGUAGAGGAUGUCGAAGGGGCGUCACGUCCUUCUAUAUUGGCCUAG
Molecule: ribosomal RNA, 2367 nt
Filed under: Triticum aestivum (bread wheat)
Lineage: Eukaryota; Viridiplantae; Streptophyta; Magnoliopsida; Poales; Poaceae
Description: partial small subunit ribosomal RNA
Source: RNAcentral